RNAcentral lists this ribosomal RNA (862 nucleotides) under uncultured Acidobacteriota bacterium. RNAcentral describes it as "bacterial SSU rRNA". It matches the Rfam family "Bacterial small subunit ribosomal RNA", at positions 56 to 896 of the family's 1533-position model. Lineage: Bacteria; Pseudomonadati; Acidobacteriota. The record is from RNAcentral.
UGCAAGUCGAACGCGAAAGUGGAGCAAUCCAUGAGUAGAGUGGCAAACGGGUGAGUAACACGUGGGUGACCUGCCUUCGAGUGGGGGAUAACGUCCCGAAAGGGACGCUAAUACCGCAUAACAUGCUGUCUUUUAAGAGAGAGACAUCAAAGCCGGGGACCGCAAGGCCUGGCGCUUGAAGAGGGGCCCGCGCCUGAUUAGCUAGUUGGUGGGGUAAUGGCUCACCAAGGCAACGAUCAGUAUCCGGCCUGAGAGGGCGGACGGACACACUGGGACUGAGACACGGCCCAGACUCCUACGGGAGGCAGCAGUGGGGAAUUGUUCGCAAUGGGCGCAAGCCUGACGACGCAACGCCGCGUGGAGGAUGAAGACCUUCGGGUCGUAAACUCCUUUCGAUCGAGACGAAUGGCCUCUGGGCUAACAUCCCGGAGGAGUGACGGUACCGAGAGAAGAAGCCCCGGCUAACUCCGUGCCAGCAGCCGCGGUAAUACGGGGGGGGCAAGCGUUGUUCGGAAUUACUGGGCGUAAAGGGCUCGUAGGCGGCCAACUAAGUCAUGCGUGAAAUCCCUCGGCUUAACCGGGGAACUGCGUCUGAUACUGGAUGGCUUGAGUUCGGGAGAGGGAUGCGGAAUUCCAGGUGUAGCGGUGAAAUGCGUAGAUAUCUGGAGGAACACCGGUGGCGAAGGCGGCAUCCUGGACCGAUACUGACGCUGAGGAGCGAAAGCCAGGGGAGCAAACGGGAUUAGAUACCCCGGUAGUCCUGGCCCUAAACGAUGAAUGCUUGGUGUGGCGGGUAUCGAUCCCUGCCGUGCCGAAGCUAACGCAUUAAGCAUUCCGCCUGGGGAGUACGGUCGCAAGGCUG